This 25-nucleotide non-coding RNA is filed under the name Cricetulus griseus (Chinese hamster). The record is from RNAcentral. Lineage: Eukaryota; Metazoa; Chordata; Mammalia; Rodentia; Cricetidae.
UGGGAGAACUUGGAAGAAUACUUAG